This 443-nucleotide ribosomal RNA is filed under the name uncultured bacterium. RNAcentral's name for it is "partial 16S ribosomal RNA". It matches the Rfam family "Bacterial small subunit ribosomal RNA", at positions 338 to 795 of the family's 1533-position model. The record is from RNAcentral.
CCUACGUGUGGCAGCAGUGGGGAAUAUUGGGCAAUGGGCGCAAGCCUGCCCCAGCAACGCCGCGUGAAGGCAGAAGGCUUUCGGGUUGUAAACUUCUUUUCUGAGGGACGAAGAAAGUGACGGUACCUCAGGAAUAAGCCACGGCUAACUACGGGCCAGCAGCCGCGGUGAUACGUAGGUGGCAAGCGUUCUCCGUAUUUACUGGGUGUAAAGGGCUUGUAGGCGGGAAAGCAAGUCAGAUGUGAAAACUCAGGGCUCAACCCUGAGCCUGCAUGUGAAACUGUUUUUCUUGAGUGCCGGAGAUGCAUUCGGAAGUCCGGGUGUAGCGGUGAAAUGCAUAGAUAGACGGAGGAACACCAGUGGCGAAGGCGGAUUGCCGGACAGUAACUGACGCUGAGGCGCGAAAGCGUGGGGAGCAAACAGGAUUAGAUACCCUUGUAGUC